UACGGGGGGGGCAAGCGUUGUUCGGAAUUACUGGGCGUAAAGGGCGCGUAGGCGGCCUGCUAAGUCACACGUGAAAUCCCUCGGCUCAACCGGGGAACUGCGUGUGAUACUGGCGGGCUUGAAUUCGGGAGAGGGAUGUGGAAUUCCAGGUGUAGCGGUGAAAUGCGUAGAUAUCUGGAGGAAUACCGGUGGCGAAGGCGGCAUCCUGGACCGGCAUUGACGCUGAGGAGCGAAAGCUAGGGGAGCAAACGGG
Molecule: ribosomal RNA, 253 nt
Filed under: uncultured bacterium
Lineage: Bacteria
Description: partial 16S ribosomal RNA
Rfam family: Bacterial small subunit ribosomal RNA
Source: RNAcentral